GUCAGCGACUUAUAUUCUGUAGCAAGGUUAACCGAAUAGGGGAGCCGGAGGGAAACCGAGUCUUAACCGGGCGUUAAGUUGCAGGGUAUAGACCCGAAACCCGGUGAUCUAGCCAUGGGCAGGUUGAAGGUUGGGUAACACUAACUGGAGGACCGAACCGACUAAUGUUGAAAAAUUAGCGGAUGACCUGUGGCUGGGGGUGAAAGGCCAAUCAAACCGGGAGAUAGCUGGUUCUCCCCGAAAGCUAUUUAGGUAGCGCCUCGUGAAUUCAUCUCCGGGGGUAGAGCACUGUUUCGGCUAGGGGGCCAUCCCGGCUUACCAACCCGAUGCAAACUGCGAAUACCGGAGAAUGUUAUCACGGGAGACACACGGCGGGUGCUAACGUCCGUCGUGAAGAGGGAAACAACCCAGACCGCCAGCUAAGGUCCCAAAGUCAUGGUUAAGUGGGAAACGAUGUGGGAAGGCCCAGACAGCCAGGAUGUUGGCUUAGAAGCAGCCAUCAUUUAAAGAAAGCGUAAUAGCUCACUGGUCGAGUCGGCCUGCGCGGAAGAUGUAACGGGGCUAAACCAUGCACCGAAGCUGCGGCAGCGACACUGUGUGUUGUUGGGUA
This 610-nucleotide ribosomal RNA is filed under the name Salmonella enterica. RNAcentral describes it as "partial 23S ribosomal RNA". It matches the Rfam family "Bacterial large subunit ribosomal RNA", at positions 619 to 1230 of the family's 2925-position model. The record is from RNAcentral. Lineage: Bacteria; Pseudomonadati; Pseudomonadota; Gammaproteobacteria; Enterobacterales; Enterobacteriaceae.